Molecule: RNA transcript, 3197 nt
Organism: Echinops telfairi (small Madagascar hedgehog)
Lineage: Eukaryota; Metazoa; Chordata; Mammalia; Afrosoricida; Tenrecidae
Gene: RNF187
Gene name: ring finger protein 187
Exons: 6
Source: RefSeq, a predicted model, not a curated record
AUAGUAUAUCUUGUGUCCAGCACUGCUGUUGGGCUUUACCUUAAGGUAAGCCCAAGGCAUCCUAGGUGUUGGGAUGGAUCAUCACCUAUUUAAGUGGGCCAAAGAGUUAAUGGAUGGAGAAACAGGUGCAGUUGGUGGCUGGCACAAGCAGCUCUUGGAGCAGACAUUGGGCUGAGGUUUCCUCUUCUCUUUGUAGGGGUGCCUCCCAUCCAUGUCCGAGGGACCCAAUUCCGAGCUGAGUGCUUGGAGAAGGUUACGCAGUGCAUUUUUCUACACACUACUCAAAGCAGAGGAGGCUACUUAGGAUUGAAUUUGGAAAAUGACUUCAACAACCACCUUUACUCUGGUGUACCUGCCAGUCUAAAUCCCUUCUGAAAAAGUGUGAGCACAUGUGUUUUAACAGAUGCAGCCUCUGUGACGACUUGUGACUAUCAGUCAAUACCAUGGGCCUGGAGAAGGAGGAGCUUAUGUUCAGUUUCCAGGCUGAUUUCUUAGAGAAUAAGGGAUCUGUGGAGAUCAUGAGAAAGGAUUUGAACGAUGCUCGAGAUCUGCACGGCCAGGCGGAGUCCGCUGCUGCUGUGUGGAAGGGCCAUGUGAUGGAUCGGAGGAAGAAGGCACUGACCGAUUAUAAGAAGCUGCGGGCCUUUUUUGCCGAGGAGGAAGAGCAUUUCCUGCAGGAGGCAGAGAAAGAGGAGGCACCGGAGGAUGAGGGGGCUGAUCCUGCCGAGAGAUUCAAAUCCCUGCUGCAGGCUGUCUCCGAGCUGGAGAAGAAGCAUCGCAACCUGGGCCUGAGCAUGCUGCUGCAGUGAUGGCGCUGGUCCUGAAGGAGGAGGGAUCCUUUAUGGAGCAUGAGGCAGAAGAAAGCACUUCUACACACCAGCCCAAAGGCCCUUUCUUUACCUUUCCUCAGGUCUCCUUCUAGGCCUCUGCCCAUUCUCCAUCCCACGGCUGUCUCCACUUGAACCGUAAAUGUGUAGAUAUGGGGAAAGCACCUGUAGGUACUUCUGUCAUUGUCCAAGAUAGUAAUUUUCAACCAAGUAUUCAUUUUCCAUUUUCUUUGAAGUGAUACUAUUAUUGAGGCUGCAAACUUUUAUUUUUCUUAGUAAAGGCUUGUCAUGAGGGCGACGAGCUCAUUUGUAUUGUAUUUCUUCAUAAACUGCCGCUAAUAAGGCUUUCAUCAGAAAUGUAUCUGGAGUCUUAGUCACCUGUGGUGAUAGUCUGGAUUCUUGUGCUUUGGGAGAUUUCUCUUAGAUACUAAGUGGACCAGGCACUGUACCUUUUUAAUGAUGCUUAAGUCAGGGUUGCUUUAUUAGACAUUCAUACCCAGGCCCAGAGAUUGCUUAGCAUAAGUUGGGUCAGUUAAGGUUAAAUUUGGGGUUAGCUUCAAGGAGAAGUCAUUGCAAAGGAGGCAUCCUGACUCCUGGGUCAGGCAGGAGGGAGGUAUUUGAGCUUUUUGUGUGUGUUUGGUCAGGCCUUUUACCAACAGCAAGUAAGAGCUUGUCUACCGUCCACUGUCCUUCUGGCUCUCACCCUCCCUGACAGUAGGCUCCCACAGAAAGAUGUGUCUACAGUGCAGAGUCUGCAGAACUGCCUCCGCAGGCUUCCACGUGGGCCCAGGGACUGCGUGGAUCUACACCGAUGCAGAUAGGCAUCAGUGUUGGCAACAAGCCCUCUCCUGUGAGCUUCUGCCAAGGCUUCUGUAACACUGCUUCCCCCUAUCAUCCGUUUGUGAGUGGAACCUAACUUUUCAGGAAAAAGAAAUAGGAGGAGGAAAGUGGGUGAGGCCAGGAGGCAGGCAGGAACAAAGGAAGGUAGGGAGGUCCGAAGAAUAUCGUAUCUUUGACCCCUUGUGUAGGAGAGGUCCAUCUCUUGAGGUGUGUCUGGUGGGAAUGGGGUAGGUACCCUUGCUCAUUAUCUUUGUACUUCUUUAUUUUUCUUUUCUGCUGGCCAGCUUUCCUCUUGUUAUAUUUGCCCAACGUAGAUUUUUCACUUAUUUUCUUAAUUCUCUGUGCUGUCUAAAGCCAACUGGAGUGCUUUGGGUCCUUGAGGAAAAUCAGUGUUGAACUGGACAUCUGAGGCCAUCAGGUCCUGCGUUGGCAGUCCAUCUGUGGACAGCUCUGAGCAGCUCCAGGCUUCACUGUGGAAUUUCAUCGCACUGCAUCUCACUGCCUUUCAUUGCUUUAUAUUUCCUGUAAUAUUGUAAUUAAGUGAAAUGUGUGGCUUUGUCGUAGUUCACUGCCUGCAGCAUCAUUGUGUACAGAUCAGCCUGAUCUUGAGACAAAUAAGUGUUGAGGGUUGUAUGGGUUGAGCACUUGAGUGUCAGCGUUGUUGUAGUACAGGAUACCGCUCUGAACCUCAGGAGGUUCCAGAUUUCUCACUAGGUAGGUGACUGUUGUGAUGAAGAGAGAAGACUUCCUCGUGGCGCCAUUGUUUUGCAAGAAGCAGGCGGCAUCACCAUCUUCAUUCCUUGGUCAGCAGAGCCUCAGGUGUGACGGCCUCAAGAGUCUGCCUAAGGACAUCAACAUCACUCAUUGCAGGUCAUGGCCCCUCUCCGUCCCUUGUGAGAGCCAUGAACAAACUAAGAUGGGUCCUGCCUGAAAAGUAGUCUGGGAGAGUAACAGCUGGUGACCUGGGCCAAAGGAAGACCUAGGAAACAGAUGGCUUCUUUCAUUACAUCAACUGGAACCAGUAUGAAUCCAACCCUAUUUGUCAUUGACUCGUGUGUUAGACCGGAUUGACAAGAGAAACAGAUCCAGUGACACUCAUAUGUAUAAGGAAGAGCUUUAAUUUAAGAAGAUGGUGAUGGAACGAUAACAACAGAACGGGGAGCGAUUAUGAAGCCUCUUGGGCAGAAUCCCACAGAAACAAAUCUACAAGACACGAUUAAUGAAGUAGAGGCUGAUGGUAAUGGCACAAUCGACUUCCUUGAAUUUCUGGAAGGCAAGAGAAGUGAAGGGCACAGACAGUGAAGACGCAAUUAGAGAAACAUUCCGCGGGUGGCAAUGGCUAACAGUGCAGCAGAACUUUGUCACCCGAUGACAAACCAUGGAGAGAAGUCAACAGAUGAAGAGUUUGAUGAAGCAGAUAUUAAUGGUGGUGGUCAAGUAAACUAUGAAGUUUGUACAGAUGACAGACAACAGCAAAGAUAAUAUAUUGUACAGACUGUUAAAUUUCUUAUAUAAAAUUAUUCACUUGUC